UGGAUAAACUCUCCGUUUAGAGAGAAUAUGAGGGCCGUUUAAAUAUCGCUCGGAAUCUUCCCCAGUGUGCACGGGCGACGAGCGCCAUUAAAGUUGAUCCCUUUGGUUUGUGGGCGUUUACCUGUCAAAACUGGAUUUUGGGGAGGUAAUUAUUUCCGCAAUACUUUAUGUGAUUGUAUGCAGCUGAUUUGACAUUUCAUCGCAAUGCUUUCAAGUGAAAACGCGAAGGUGAUCAAAAGCUGACAUAACGCUCGCUGUUAGACGCACAUCUCAAACGGUACGCUUUGCGUGCACACCGCGAGAUUUGCAAGUGAUAUCGCGAUACAGCUAAUGUACACGAUACGAACUACACCAGUGCGUUCAAAUUGUGUUUUCCAGAGAAUUCGGUUCCUGGAAAUUCCUGUGUAUCGCGAGUAUUGUUGCGUUUGCCACACUCUAAUCGGCUUCUGACCUUAGCAUCUCCUGUAAAAUACCAUGGGGUCCGAUAACUACCUCAGCCACCCAUACCUAGCGCUGUAUUAAUGCCGUCCGCGAUAUCAUUGUUUCCAACCGCAUUUAGCUCUUGUUUCCAACCACAAUCCGUUGAAAUGCCACCGUGAUUGUUGUGUGUGAUUGUUGUGUUGACGAUUCUCGCUGUCAGUGAACGGACGUUUGGAGUGAAAAUUUAAAUUUGUAUGGUCGUUGAAAAGACGAUACAGAAAUGAACGGUUCGUAUAUAAUAACAUAUUAAAUAAAAUCAACUAGAUGCUGAAAAGUUUGAGAUGCUUUGAAAGUUUGAAGGUGCGUAUCUGUAUGACGUCCGCGAUCCUAGCCGAGUUCACGAUAAGAUGCGCGGUGAAUGUUCACAUUGCCUUGUGCGCGUUUACCUGUCAACACGGAAUUCCGAGGAGGUGAUUUGACAUUUCGUCGCAACGUUUCUAAAUCGCAACGCGAAGGCGAUCGAAAAUUGACAGCGAUCGCGGUUAGACGAAAACCACAAACGGGACACGUCCGGGAGGCUCGCGAGCAUUGUGAACGUAAAACGGGCCUCAGCUAUAAUAUAACAAAUACGUAUUUAUGUUUGUUGGUACUGCUGCUAGGAACGCAUCUAAUUUGACGACAUCGAAAGUUUAUUUCUGUACCGCCAUCAAAAGCAAACUCCAAGCAACGAUAUCCAAAUUCGCAAUAGAAGAUUGACUAAAAAGAAUUGACGUUCAAGCAAAGCUGAAAUUUCCGAAGAAAAGAAGCCAUGAAGUACAUUUGAUGUUUGACACAUGUGUAUUUGAUGUUUGUUUGGAGUAUGUGUUUGAAUAUGACGAAGCGGAUUGUAUCUCAACGCACUACUAGUGUUACUUUUAGAUUUACAAAAAGACGAGGAUAUUUCGGUACUACGGAAAUUUUGAAUAAUGCACCUCUGACUUCACCUAUCCGCGAAUAACAUCUAAGGAAAAAAUGCUGUAGCAUUGUUUACGUCAGACGAUACACGAAAAUAAUAGUUAUUAGAUGACAAAACCAUUAGAGCCGACACCGACGCUAUGGAAAUUAGCGCAUAUUAUGAUCGAUUUGCAAAACUUUCGGAAAAGGAGCUACUAGCUGUAAAUCAUAUUCGAAGAAGAAUGAUGGAAACGUGGCUUUACCUGUGAACUUUUGUAGCAAAACUUGCUUGAUUUUCAUCUUAAUUUGAAGGAGCAAAAAAGAGAACUGUAAAGUUUAUAAAUACUUCUAAACGUUUCAAAGAAAACAAAUACAUAUGGAUUUCCGUACGAAUCUGCGAACAUAUGUGAUAGUUCAAUAAGUUGAAUAAAUAAUCGGUUUAUAGCGAAAGCAUAUGAAAACUCGCUGCACGCAAAAAUGUUCUUAGUGGAUACUAUUAUUUGAAUUUAUAUAUAUGUACAUAUAAUAGCUAGCGUUUUUGAAAUCAAAUGAUAAUCAACUGAGACUUUCGAGAUAGCAAAGUAUUGGAGAAUUUAUCUCUAUCCAGACAAGUCAGCAAUUUUGAUUAUGAGAAGUUAUAUCAUGAAUGUCUCCUCCAUUUGAAGAACUGUUGAUCUUUCAAUAAGUGCCCAGCUAAGGGUUCACAAACCUAUUGCAUCGAGGCCGGAAGAGCGUGUACCAAUUUACUUCCUUGUUGUUCCAUGCACCUUAAUUAAGUAUAAGUAGAAAAUAAUAAAGAACAAUUGUAUAUAA
This is a long non-coding RNA of Hermetia illucens (black soldier fly), 2166 nucleotides long. RefSeq lists it as uncharacterized. The transcript is spliced from 6 exons. The record is from RefSeq and is a predicted model, not a curated record. Lineage: Eukaryota; Metazoa; Arthropoda; Insecta; Diptera; Stratiomyidae.